UUGUACCAACCCUAUCUCUAAUUCAAACUCUCACAUUUCUCUCUCACUCUCUCACGAUUCUCUCACUCUCUCUCCAACGCCUCUUUGCGGCGAUUUUCUGUAAACCCUAGAUCUAAAUUUUUCACCGUCUCUCCUUCCAUCUCCUUCGGUUCUUCACAAACUCCGUCACUCCGUCACUCCGCCGUUCUCUGACAUCCGAUGCAUUUAUCGCUUCCGUAACACCGCCGUUCUCAGAGAUCCGGCGCCGUCAUCUUCUGCACCUCCACA
Molecule: long non-coding RNA, 267 nt
Filed under: Brassica napus (rape)
Lineage: Eukaryota; Viridiplantae; Streptophyta; Magnoliopsida; Brassicales; Brassicaceae
Description: long non-coding RNA (BNAP_LNC019629)
Source: RNAcentral